GAUGAACGCUGGCGGCGUGUCUAAUACAUGCAAGUCGAGCGAACAGACGAGGAGCUUACUCCUCUGACGUUAGCGGCGGACGGGUGAGUAACACGUGGAUAACCUACCUAUAAGACUGGGAUAACUUCGGGAAACCGGAGCUAAUACCGGAUAACAUGUUGAACCGCAUGGUUCAACAGUGAAAGACGGUCUUGCUGUCACUUAUAGAUGGAUCCGCGUCGCAUUAGCUAGUUGGUAAGGUAACGGCUUACCAAGGCAACGAUGCGUAGCCGACCUGAGAGGGUGAUCGGCCACACUGGAACUGAGACACGGUCCAGACUCCUACGGGAGGCAGCAGUAGGGAAUCUUCCGCAAAGGGCGAAAGCCUGACGGAGCAACGCCGCGUGAGUGAAGAAGGUCUUCGGAUCGUAAAACUCUGUUAUUAGGGAAGAACAAAUGUGUAAGUAACUAUGCACGUCUUGACGGUACCUAAUCAGAAAGCCACGGCUAACUACGUG
Molecule: ribosomal RNA, 497 nt
Filed under: uncultured bacterium
Lineage: Bacteria
Description: partial 16S ribosomal RNA
Rfam family: Bacterial small subunit ribosomal RNA
Source: RNAcentral